RNAcentral lists this long non-coding RNA (1192 nucleotides) under Ursus maritimus (polar bear). RNAcentral describes it as "lncRNA (ENSUMAG00000018663.1)". Lineage: Eukaryota; Metazoa; Chordata; Mammalia; Carnivora; Ursidae. The record is from RNAcentral.
AUGCUUUCCUGUUACUGCUAUCUCCCCCACCAGCACUGGACUAGCUCCUGGGGAACAAAACCAAUUAGAUUCCCGCUUCGGAGCAGCAGGGGUUUGCACCAAGGGCAGUGCAUCCUACGGGACCCCCAAGAGCCGAAUCUGAACCUUGCCAAGGAGGAAACGAAUUCCUUUUCCCUGGAAUUCUAUUUAUAAGUAAUCUCUACACCCAACGUGGGGCUGGAACUCAGAACCCCGAGAUCAAGAGUCACAGGCUUCACCAACUGAGCCAGCCAGACGCUCCUGUGUUGCCAAUCUGAUGGGUAAAUAAUAUUAAUCUCAUUUUAAUGUGCUUUUCCUGGCAGGCUGGGCAGGGCACUUACUCUUUUGUUUUUUGUCAUCAGCAUUUCUUCUUCUGUGAAUAGUGUGCUGAAGACCUUGAGUUGUUUUUCUUAUUGCAUUAUCUUUUUCUGUUGGUAGGCAUUCUUUGGGAUUUUAACCUUUUGUGAUAAGGGCUGCAGAUACCUUCUCCUAGCUGAUUGUCUUUUGACUUUGUUUAUGGUGCCUUCCGGUACACGCAAAUUUUUAAUUUUUAUGUGGCUUUAUCUGGCAAGCUUUUCCUUCAUGGUUUCUGAAUCUCUAGUCUUUCUUAAAAAGUGUUCUCUGCCUUGAGGUUAUACAAAUUCUCCCUUUGGAUCUUUGCCAGGAAUUUAUUGCUCUGUCUGCAGUGUUUGUGGGAUAGCGAAAAAAAAAAAAAAACACAAACCACUCAAAAUACAUAUUGAAAUACAACAGACACACUGGGAAGUGCACAAAUUUGAAGGGACUUGUCACAGACUUGUCUGAUCAGCAUGCAGAUCAAGAAAGAGAACAUUACCAGCACCCCAAAGCCCCUUCUCUGUUCUUCCAGUUAUUACUCCUUGACAAGGCGAACCACUAUCCUGACUCCUAACACCUUAUAUUAGUUUUCUAAGGGGAUAAUUCCAUUUUCAUGCAGAUGGCCAAUUAAGUAUGCCAACAAAAUUAGCUACUGAGUUAAGAUGCCUCCUUUUAUCGUUGGUACUUUUAAGGAGAAAAUAUGUUUCUGGCUGCAGUGAGGGUGGGGGGCUGCAUGACCCAAUGCCUAACAAAGUCGACUUUCCCUUUUUUAAAAAAGUUUAUUUAUUUAGUAAUCUCUCUGCCCAACGUGGGGCUUGAGCUCACAACCCCAAGAUCA